CGAGUUACCACUUUAUAACCCUUUGUGAACAUACCUACAUGUUGCUUCGGCGGUCGGCCCCCCCGGGCCCCCGGCCCCGCUCACGCGGGGCGUCCGCCGGAGGAUAACCAAACUCUGAUUUAACGACGUUUCUUCUGAGUGGCACAAGCAAAUAAUCA
This 158-nucleotide unclassified non-coding RNA is filed under the name Colletotrichum sp. FM-2012-1. RNAcentral's name for it is "sequence contains ITS1". The record is from RNAcentral. Lineage: Eukaryota; Fungi; Ascomycota; Sordariomycetes; Glomerellales; Glomerellaceae.